This 313-nucleotide signal recognition particle RNA is filed under the name Candidatus Methanoxibalbensis ujae. RNAcentral's name for it is "signal recognition particle sRNA". It matches the Rfam family "Archaeal signal recognition particle RNA". The record is from RNAcentral. Lineage: Archaea; Methanobacteriati; Methanobacteriota; Methanomicrobia; Candidatus Methanophagales; Candidatus Methanospirareceae.
GUGCGGGCUAGCCUGGGGGGUUCGGCGUCCCCUGUAACCCGAAACCGUCGGCAUGCGGGAGGCGAAGCCUGAGGGCGGCUCCGGAUGCUGCGAGUGCAGCUCGGCGCCCGACUGUGAGGCAUCGUCCUGCGGGGUCGCCGUCGGCGUCGUGCAUUCUGGAGGGAAUGUGCGGCGUCAUGACCGCGGGCACCGGUUCAGGCCCGGAAGGGAGCAGACCCACCGCGGGCGGUCGGCGCUCGCAGGGUCGCGGUGCUGAGAAAGGCGCUGAGGGACUGGCUCGUAGCAAAGGAGCCAACCGAUGGCGUGCCCGCAC